GAUGAACGCUAGCGACAGGCUUAACACAUGCAAGUCGAGGGGCAGCAGGGGAGUAGCAAUACUCCCGCUGGCGACCGGCGCACGGGUGAGUAACACGUAUGCAACCUGCCCUUGUCAGGGGGAUAAGCGGAAGAAAUUCCGUCUAAUACCGCAUAACGCUGCGGGGAGACAUCUCCCUGCAGCCAAAGAUUUAUCGGACAAGGAUGGGCAUGCGGCGCAUUAGCUUGUUGGCGGGGUAACGGCCCACCAAGGCGACGAUGCGUAGGGGUUCUGAGAGGAAGGUCCCCCACACUGGUACUGAGACACGGACCAGACUCCUACGGGAGGCAGCAGUGAGGAAUAUUGGUCAAUGGCCGGGAGGCUGAACCAGCCAAGUCGCGUGAGGGAAGACGGUCCUAUGGAUUGUAAACCUCUUUUGUCAGGGAGCAAAAACUGCCACGCGUGGCAGGAUGAGAGUACCUGAAGAAAAAGCAUCGGCUAACUCCGUGCCAGCAGCCGCGGUAAUACGGAGGAUGCGAGCGUUAUCCGGAUUUAUUGGGUUUAAAGGGUGCGUAGGCGGACAGUUAAGUCAGCGGUAAAAUUGAGAGGCUCAACCUCUUCCCGCCGUUGAAACUGAUUGUCUUGAGUGGGCGAGAAGUAUGCGGAAUGCGUGGUGUAGCGGUGAAAUGCAUAGAUAUCACGCAGAACUCCGAUUGCGAAGGCAGCAUACCGGCGCCCAACCGACGCUGAAGCACGAAAGCGUGGGUAUCGAACAGGAUUAGAUACCCUGGUAGUCCACGCAGUAAACGAUGAAUACUAAUUGUUCGGGUCGAGUGAGAUCUGAGUGAUACAGCGAAAGCGUUAAGUAUUCCACCUGGGGAGUACGCCGGCAACGGUGAAACUCAAAGGAAUUGACGGGGGCCCGCACAAGCGGAGGAACAUGUGGUUUAAUUCGAUGAUACGCGAGGAACCUUACCCGGGCUCAAACGACACAGGAAUGAUCUGAGAAAUCAGGCAGUCCUUCGGGACCUGUGUCGAGGUGCUGCAUGGUUGUCGUCAGCUCGUGCCGUGAGGUGUCGGCUUAAGUGCCAUAACGAGCGCAACCCCCAUCGACAGUUGCCAGCAGGUCAAGCUGGGCACUCUGUCGAGACUGCCGGCGCAAGCUGUGAGGAAGGCGGGGAUGACGUCAAAUCAGCACGGCCCUUACGUCCGGGGCGACACACGUGUUACAAUGGCAGGUACAGCGGGAAGCCACCUGGCGACAGGGAGCGGAACCCGAAAGCCUGUCUCAGUUCGGAUUGGAGUCCGCAACUCGACUCCAUGAAGCUGGAUUCGCUAGUAAUCGCGCAUCAGCCACGGCGCGGUGAAUACGUUCCCGGGCCU
RNAcentral lists this ribosomal RNA (1362 nucleotides) under uncultured bacterium. RNAcentral describes it as "16S ribosomal RNA". It matches the Rfam family "Bacterial small subunit ribosomal RNA", at positions 28 to 1381 of the family's 1533-position model. The record is from RNAcentral.